This 749-nucleotide long non-coding RNA is filed under the name Chinchilla lanigera (long-tailed chinchilla). RNAcentral describes it as "lncRNA (ENSCLAG00000027314.1)". The record is from RNAcentral. Lineage: Eukaryota; Metazoa; Chordata; Mammalia; Rodentia; Chinchillidae.
GGAUAAGGAAUAAUGUAACUGUGGGUCUGUUGUAAAGCAAUCAUUUUAUCCAGAUCUCCCAAAUGCCUGAGUCUUACAAGCCUAGCACCACAAAUUUCAACCAUAUUUCUACUAAGACUAAAAGAAGUAAUUCUCCUCUGAUUGCCAGUAGUGACCUCUUAGUGUGACCUGGUGGAGGGGGCUCUUCCUGAGUGGUCAGGAAUAGACCUGUGACACUGCUGUCGCAGCCUCCUUACCUGGUGGCCUCUGUCCAGGCCUUCGUGAGAUCACCAGGGCAGGGAACUCCACAACCCCUCUUCUGUCACCCACAUUCAGAUGUCACCCAUUGUUACCCACACUCCAGCAUCAGGGGAUGUACUGCUCUGCCCUUGGCUACUCUAUCCCACAUCUGUCUGUCUCAGUCAGAAAUCAAAUUAAUUUGAGCAAAAAAGGCGUGCAUGGCACAGGGAUGAAGAGUUCACAGAAUCCAAGGUGAUCCCAAAACAAAUACAGGUGGUCCCCAACUUAUGAAGGCUUGACUUACGAGUCUUUGACUUUGCCAUGAUGAGACAGCAGUAUGUGUCCAGUAGAGUCGAUACUUUGAAUGUGGAUCUUCUCCGUGGCUAGAUACAUGUGGUAUGAUACUCGUUUGUGCUCUGGGCCGGCAGCAACAAGCCGUGGCUCCCGAUCAGCCAUGAAAUCCUGAAGGUAAGCAAUGAAUACUGUACUGUGUACCAUGUUACUGUAAAGUAGGCUAAGUGUCUUAAACA